RNAcentral lists this ribosomal RNA (253 nucleotides) under uncultured bacterium. Its description in RNAcentral is "partial 16S ribosomal RNA". It matches the Rfam family "Bacterial small subunit ribosomal RNA", at positions 524 to 776 of the family's 1533-position model. The record is from RNAcentral.
UACGUAGGGGGCAAGCGUUGUCCGGAUUUAUUGGGCGUAAAGAGCGUGUAGGCGGCUUGAUAAGUCUGCUGUGAAAACUCGAGGCUCAACCUCGAGCUGUCGGUGGAAACUGUCUAGCUAGAGUCCGGAAGAGGAGAGUGGAAUUCCUGGUGUAGCGGUGAAAUGCGCAGAUAUCAGGAAGAACACCUAUGGCGAAGGCAGCUCUCUGGGACGGUACUGACGCUGAGACGCGAAAGCGUGGGGAGCGAACAGG